Molecule: long non-coding RNA, 5468 nt
Organism: Numida meleagris (helmeted guineafowl)
Lineage: Eukaryota; Metazoa; Chordata; Aves; Galliformes; Numididae
Exons: 3
Source: RefSeq, a predicted model, not a curated record
UCUGCAUGUCAGAGGAACUGCCUGACAGCCGGCGUUUCUCCCCUCCAGGCUGCUGCAGGAAUUCUUCUGCUUGCUUACGAGAACAUAUGCUUGCAAAAGAAAAAAAAAUUACCCUUCUCUGCUAUUUGGCACCUAAAGCCUGAUUUUAAUUUCUGGGUGCAGCUUUUUCUCUGAACAUAUUGCUAAAUACCAGCACAUUGCCCAUCUGUUCCAACUUGGUGUCUUCAGGGCUGAGUGCUGUAGAGGAAAGGUUAUCAUUAACUUGCCUUAAAAAACUUGAUUCAUUUACAAAAACAGUGACUAGGGAAACUCGUAUUCUCCUUGCUCUGCAGGAUUAUCUUCAGCGCCGACUCUGAGGAAAUCCUAUAAGCCACAGACAGACCUGGGUUUUGUGGAGUGACUGGAAGGACACAAGUUGACUGAGGAGUCUGACAGAUUUGUGGACAUCAGUGAGCCUAAAUAAUCAAGUGCAUGGCAUCCAUAUAUGAUUUGGGGUCUGCAAAUCUUCACCUGUUAUUUACAGCCCUGUAUGAACUUGCACAGCCUAAAUGAGGCAUGUGACAUCUCCCGGGCUCCUCCUGGCUGCUGGUGAGUCACUUGACGGGUAACUCAGAUCCACUGGGGUCUGUGACAUAGAUGGUCAGACCAGAAGGCCUCAUGGCAAUGACCUGUCCAGCUCCAAGCUGGACAAGAAUCCAGCAUCCUACCAACAGUCAAGAGACCAAAUGUUUCAGUGUGCGUUCCAGCAAUGUCUGUGAUGAUUUAAGAAUUUGUUAAAUAGAAAUGUACAACCAAUCCUAGGAAAUAAACCUCAUCUACUUUAAGAAAUGGCCAGAACUUCCUGAAGAGCUAUCAAUGUCAUCAUUAUGAUGGGAAAUUCUCCUGAAACAUAUAUAUUGAGGGAGCUGAGGUAAGAUUUUGUAAAUUUUUGCAAGACACUAUAAUGAAGAAAUGAUAUUUACAUGUUCCAAUUAUCUAUUUGGAUAUACGUGUUUAAGUAUGUGUAUGUAUAGGUGUAUAUGUAUGGUCAUGUUCUAUGUGUGCGUAUGGGUGUGUGCGUAGGUAGGUGCUUACGGAUAUGGGUGUACAUCUUUCUGUCAGCCAGUUCAAUUCAACAUAAAAAAAAAGUAGGGUCAUUUCAAAGACAUUUUAUUCCCACAACUGUUAUGAAAAUCAGAAUUUGGGUGGAGCAAAAAUAGGCUAUGGCUACAUCUACAGUAGCAAGCUUAACAUGCCUAGUACUGUCCUGUGCUCCUGAAGCCAAUUGGCACCAAACAAAGUUUCCAUACUAUUAAACUCUCUUACCCUUCCAAGAAGGGUGGCCAUGUCCAAGUGCCUAUUUUGAUGGGCCUUGGCCUUUUCUAAGUAGUUCCUGGGAACUAUUUAAGAAAGUGCUAGUUUUCUCUGGUCAGAACCAUGCCAGGUAGUAUUCUCACAAUUUAACAGCAUAGUUGAUCAAGUUCCAGUGCUUGGAAACAUUCCCUAGUAUUGUUUAAUUUAGUAGUGUAGAUGCAGCUUACGUGUGCACCCAACUGAGAAGCAAGCUGUUCUGUUAAUUCUUCAUUAGACAUCAGAUUAUGCCCAGUGGAGCGAUGCUGUGAGUAUCCCAGCAGUGGGGAAAGAUUUGGUUCCCCACUCACACUGUUAGAUGUUAAAGGAGACUACUGUGUGGCACAAAUCCAUGCUGUAGUGUUUCCACUGUUCGUAGACCUGCUUGUUUCUUCAUGUCACCAACCACUUUAUCUGCUGUGGGGAAGGCACGUAAUCAAGGCUGAGGCAGAUUGAGGCAGAGAGGGGCUCUGAAGAUCACUCACACUAAAAUGGCUUGUGAUUUCCCAGAGGUAAUAUAGUCCCCUGCUGUGGUCUGAGGCUGCCUGGAAGUCAGCAGUGCAGACCUCUGGCUUCCUUAGGUGCCGUGGAUUCUUUCCAGUGAUGUAUAGACGGGGCUAUAAAGCACCUGAAAGUGCCUACUAUGCACAGAGUGGAAGCAAAUAAUCAGAUUUAUAGCUACAGAAAAAGUUGAUAGAGGUUGCAGCCCUGCCUAUGGGGGUUGGAACUAGAUGAUCUUUAUGGUCACUUUCAACUUCAGUCAUUCUAUGAUUCUGUGAUUCUGUGAUCUUAUGGUUAGAGCUGAAAAAAUUUAGAUUUGGCAGUAAUGUCACAAGAGGGACAAAAACCUAUGAAUUCUCCGUGAACAUGGAUGCCCCUCUUGUCCUUCUGGUCUCUGAGCACUCCCUCUCUUUACCUAUAGUUCUCCAGCGCUUACUGCAUGAGAAAGCUACUGUGUAACACAGCAGGAAUACCUGAAUCAGAAGCCUGUACACCACAAACACCAAGACAGACUCUUCAUCCUGAUGUACUCACAGUCCAAAACUGGAAAAGAAAAGAGCCUGAGCUGCCUUUAAAAUAAUAUCAUGGUAUCUUAAAGUGGAAGAAGUCUAGAGAAAGUUGCUUCCAGGAGCAAAACUGUGUAAAGAACUUGGUAAAAAUGCACAUAAUCAUUUGUAGGACAAUAACAGUGAGAGACCAAAACAAGAUGGUGUUCCCAAUCUGUAGUCCAAGAAACUAUCAAGCAGAAAAAGAAAGGCUUUGUGUUGAACAGCUUGAAGUCUAACUAAACAGCUCUUGCAGUGGUUUGAAGGAAAAUGUGUGAUCUAGCCAAAAUUAUAUGUCAAGUCAUUCACAAAAACAAAACUUCGGUUUCCUGACUGCCAGGCCUGUGACUAACCCAGUUGUUCAUGAUUCCUAUCAUAUGGACAAAGGUAGAUAUAGAGGCAGAAAGACAGGGAUAAAUAUCAAAGUACAUACAAAGGAGAUACUGCUGUCUGUGAGCUGAACGCUGAGCUUACCACUAUUGGGACUGAUGAAAAACUUUCCGAAAGAACAGCUUUCCAUGGGAAAAGUGAUCUGCAAGAUCAGAAAGUUUCUGGAAAAUGUCAACAUAUUUCAAAUGCAAGAGGAAAUCAUAACAAAUGGUUUCAAAUUUUCAACAUCUUUUUCUGUCACAGAUUUUUGCUUUUAAGAUAUUAAGGAAAAAUCUAAGCAGUCUAAAUAUAGGAGUAAAAAAGUUUCUGAACACUUCACUUUGUGGGUUGUUCCUGAAACACUGCUUUCCCAGGACAAUGGUGAACUCAGGCUCUGGGGAUAUACUGGGAUUUUUUUCAUCAGUCAUCUCUAGUACAACAAGGGGAAAUGUACAGCCAGGGUGCGCCAAUAAACCAACUGAUCAAACGAGCUGCACGGGGAUAUGUGGCCAUACCCUUUGCAAACAAGGCCAUGCAUGUACAUGCCAACACAAUUACUUUGCUUGGAUGUGCCAGGAGAAAAUGGAAUGUAAAGUAGUCUGUAAAUAGCUAAUAAAUCUUGCUCCCAGUGUUUUAUGUGUUUCUACCUAAGUCAGGAAGGAACUUGAUUUUUUUUUUUUUAAAGUUAAUGCAACUAGCUUAAAUGUGGUGUUUGGUGGAAGAGAGAAUGGAAAAGGUUUUGAUUGUUCUGCUGUUCCCUAGAGGGGGGUAUUAUUUCCAAAUAAAUGUUUUUAAGAGCUUCAACCGUAUUUCCAGAGGAAAACAAAUACAUCCACAAACUUAGGCAGACUCUUUCCUAUUUAGCACAGCAGUGCUCCCCAAAAAUAAUAUCAACAGAAGAAAAGACUGUGGAAGAUGAUUGAAACAACCAGUCCUACUGAUCCUCUAUCCAACUCCAUACACCGAAUAAGCUAGAGGUAAACACUCUGUGUACCUAAAAUGAAUCACUUCAUGGAAAGACUAAUUAUUUUUAUCAGAAAAUAAAGGCUGAAAUUAGACUUUUCAUUCUUCAACAGUUGGGGCAAAUCUGGGGAUAAAACUUCCUGAUCCACCUUCAUCCUUGUCCUCUGCAGAAAACAACUCCUGAGUUUUCACUGAGACUUGUAGUAGUCAGUCCCAAUAAGUCAUAAAUCCAGCAAAUAUGCUGUCUGCUCAGAACAGUUUGUUCUGAGGACUAAUUCUGUGUUGUAGUGAGCAGCACAGUCAAAAAUUGUCACAGUGGUUUAUUGGGAAGCUCUGCUGCUACUGAAGGGCUGUUUUUUAACUUUCCCUGUGAGGGGAAAAUAUGACUCUGCUAGAAGAAUGAUUCCACAAUGUAGCCUUAAAGGCUGAAUUGACUGUAAUGUAUAGUUGACUUCAGAAGCCUAAACAGUUGGUGCUCUGUCUUUCUGCCAGGACAUUCAUCUUCUCCAAAAACAUUAUCAGUCUCUGCUUGAAUGUGUGCACAGCUGUAGUGUUUGAAGACACUGGGUAAAUUAUCUUGUAAUAAAUGUUUGUAAUUGUUUUUCACUGGACUGUGACCUGACUUUAGUAACAUUUGAAUGAUGACUACUACCAACAGGAUAUCCCAACAAGUGAGAAGAUCCUGUGUCAGUGCAUUUGCUGGAGUUAGAACAGCAGAGUUUCUUUUUCCUUUAAUAUGUCUGCAAGGAAAUCAUCUGCAAUGGGGAGAAUGCCAGAGCUUAUCAGAGAGAUAGAAAAACCCGCCUAUAUUUCCUGGAUCUUCCUGAGCUUGGGAAUAUUCGUUGCAUGAUUAUGGCCUGCACUGGCAAGGUUGUGCCAGUGAAAGCAACUGAGACUUUGAAACUGCCUGGUUGGUUUCUGUGCAGUCUACAUGUUCUCUGUUUCUUUGGUACAGAUGACCCUUCAGUCAGGCUCGAGGCAAAAAGUGAAGUGAAAUCUCUGUGUUAUUUUCAUCUCUUCUCCUUUUCUUCAAAGUGGUGUGUCUCUGUAGGGAAUUCUGUUACAGUCACUCUUCUCCAAGACUCAUUAUCAUUCUCUGAUGAGCUGAGAAGAACUAGAAUGGAAGAGCCAUUAAUUAGUCUUCUUAAAAGUGAUAAUAAUAAUCUCUAUUCACCAUUUCUCCACCAAAACAAACUCAGAGAAAUAUUAUAUCAAGGAGAAUACAAGGAACUUAUGCUUGAUCUUGACCUAAGAACUUUGGAAAAGAUUUCAGGAGAGACAUACAAUGUGAUUCUUUGCAAUAGCAAAGACGGGACUCAUAACCCAAAGGGCACUUCCUUGAUUCGUAUUCCUAAAAAAGCAAGAACAGAUUUGCCCCAGUUGGAAACCUUCCUUGGUAGCAACACUGACGUCUUCCUACAAGGCCUCCAGCCAUGUGAGGGCAAAACAAUUGCAACAGGACUGUGUGAAAGUGAAGGACCUUCUACUGAACUCAUUUUUGGACUGUGCACAGGGCUUGAUAUGCAUCCAUGUAUUAAAAAAGGUCACCACAUUUGUUAGGAAAGAAAUGAAAUGUACAUCUGUGCUGUACUUAAUUGCAAAGCCAAGAGCUGUUGAAAUGCACGAAGUUGUGGAAUUUACUGUUUUGUCAGACUGGUGAAUUAAUGGCAUAGACUAAAAAAAGAUUAUAAGAAAAAGAAAUGGAUUCUCCAAAAUAGAAAUAUUCUAUUGACAUGAUUACUUAUCUAACAAGGUAAAGAA